GGGUCCGAUGGUGGGUGCCAAAGGCUAAGGCUUCCUGUCUCCCAGGGUAACGUCAUUCCAGCCCUUGCUGUUCACUGAGGCGCACCGAGAGAAGUUCCAACGCAGCCGUCUCCACCAGACGGUGCAACAGUUCAAGCGCUUCAUUGAGAACUACCGGCGCCACAUCGGCUGCGUGGCCGUGUUCUACGCCAUCGCUGGGGGGCUUUUCCUGGAGAGGGCCUACUACUACGCCUUUGCCGCACACCACACGGGCAUCACGGACACCACCCGCGUGGGAAUCAUCCUGUCGCGGGGCACGGCAGCCAGCAUCUCCUUCAUGUUCUCCUACAUCCUGCUCACCAUGUGCCGCAACCUCAUCACCUUCCUGCGAGAAACCUUCCUCAACCGCUACGUACCCUUCGACGCCGCCGUGGACUUCCAUCGCCUCAUUGCCUCCACCGCCAUCGUCCUCACAGUCUUACACAGUGUGGGCCAUGUGGUGAAUGUGUACCUGUUCUCCAUCAGCCCCCUCAGCGUCCUCUCCUGCCUCUUUCCUGGCCUCUUCCAUGAUGACGGGUCUGAGUUCCCUCAGAAGUAUUACUGGUGGUUCUUCCAGACUGUACCAGGCCUCACGGGGGUUGUGCUGCUCCUGAUCCUGGCCAUCAUGUAUGUCUUUGCCUCCCACCACUUCCGCCGCCGUAGUUUCCGGGGCUUCUGGCUGACCCACCACCUCUACAUCCUGCUGUAUGUCCUGCUCAUCAUCCAUGGUAGCUUUGCUCUAAUCCAGCUGCCCCGUUUCCACAUCUUCUUCCUGGUCCCAGCAAUCAUCUAUGGGGGCGACAAGCUGGUGAGCCUGAGCCGGAAGAAGGUGGAGAUCAGCGUGGUGAAGGCGGAGCUGCUGCCCUCAG
This 887-nucleotide small RNA is filed under the name Pongo abelii (Sumatran orangutan). RNAcentral describes it as "retained intron". Lineage: Eukaryota; Metazoa; Chordata; Mammalia; Primates; Hominidae. The record is from RNAcentral.